RNAcentral lists this unclassified non-coding RNA (334 nucleotides) under soil metagenome. RNAcentral describes it as "partial contains 5.8S ribosomal RNA, internal transcribed spacer 2, and large subunit ribosomal RNA". The stretch from base 1 to 120 matches the Rfam family "5.8S ribosomal RNA", at positions 35 to 154 of the family's 154-position model. The record is from RNAcentral.
GAUGAAGAACGUAGCGAAAUGCGAUAAGUAAUGUGAAUUGCAGAAUUCAGUGAAUCAUCGAAUCUUUGAACGCACAUUGCGCCCGCCAGUAUUCUGGCGGGCAUGCCUGUUCGAGCGUCGUUUCAACCAUCAAGCCCCAGGCUUGUGUUGGAGCCCUGCGGCUGCCGCAGCCUCCCAAAACCAGUGGCGGGCUCGCUAUCACACCGAGUGCAGUAGUUUACUCUUCGCUCAGGGCGUGUGGCGGGUGCUAGCCGUAAAACCCCCAACUUCUCAAGGUUGACCUCGGAUCAGGUAGGAAUACCCGCUGAACUUAAGCAUAUCAAUAAGCGGAGGA